Molecule: ribosomal RNA, 433 nt
Filed under: uncultured bacterium
Lineage: Bacteria
Description: partial 16S ribosomal RNA
Rfam family: Bacterial small subunit ribosomal RNA
Source: RNAcentral
AACGAACGCUGGCGGCAUGCCUAACACAUGCAAGUCGAACGAGACCUUCGGGUCUAGUGGCGCACGGGUGCGUAACGCGUGGGAACCUGCCCUUAGGUUCGGAAUAACUCCCCGAAAGGGGUGCUAAUACCGGAUAAUGUCUUCGGACCAAAGAUUUAUCGCCUUUGGAUGGGCCCGCGUUGGAUUAGCUAGUUGGUAGGGUAAAAGCCUACCAAGGCGACGAUCCAUAGCUGGUCUGAGAGGAUGAUCAGCCACACUGGGACUGAGACACGGCCCAGACCCUUACGGGAGGCAGCAGUGGGGAAUAUUGGACAAUGAGCGAAAGCCUGAUCCAGCAAUGCCGCGUGAGUGAUGAAGGCCUUAGGGUUGUAAAGAUCUUUUACCCGGGAUGAUAAUGACAGUACCGGGAGAAUAAGCUCCGGCUAACUCCGUG